CCUUCGGGAGGCAGCAGUAGGGAAUAUUGCUCAAUGGGGGAAACCCUGAAGCAGCAACGCCGCGUGGAGGAUGAAGGUUUUAGGAUUUUAAACUCCUUUUGUGAUAGAAGUUAAUGACGGUAUCUCACGAAUAAGCACUGGCAAACUCGGUUCCAGCACCCGCGGUAAUACGGGGGGUGCAAGCGUUACACGGAAUCACUGGGCGUUAAGAGUGCGAAGGCGGGCUUGUAAGUCAGAUGUGAAAUUCUUUAGCUUAACUACAAAACUGAAUUUGAAACUAUUAGUCUAGAGUGUGGGAGAGUUAGGUGGAAUUCUUGGUGUAGGGGUAAAAUCCGUAGAUAUCAAGAGGAAUACUCAUUGCGAAGGCGACCUACUGGAACAUUACUGACGCUCAUGCACGAAAGCGUGGGGAGCAAACAGGAUUAGAUACCCUGUAGUC
This 439-nucleotide ribosomal RNA is filed under the name uncultured bacterium. RNAcentral's name for it is "partial 16S ribosomal RNA". It matches the Rfam family "Bacterial small subunit ribosomal RNA", at positions 338 to 795 of the family's 1533-position model. The record is from RNAcentral.